RNAcentral lists this ribosomal RNA (686 nucleotides) under uncultured bacterium. RNAcentral's name for it is "bacterial SSU rRNA". It matches the Rfam family "Bacterial small subunit ribosomal RNA", at positions 60 to 737 of the family's 1533-position model. The record is from RNAcentral.
AGUCGAGCGGUAGCACAGAGAGCUUGCUCUCGGGUGACGAGCGGCGGACGGGUGAGUAAUGUCUGGGAAACUGCCUGAUGGAGGGGGAUAACUACUGGAAACGGUAGCUAAUACCGCAUAACGUCGCAAGACCAAAGUGGGGGACCUUCGGGCCUCAUGCCAUCAGAUGUGCCCAGAUGGGAUUAGCUUGUAGGUGGGGUAACGGCUCACCUAGGCGACGAUCCCUAGCUGGUCUGAGAGGAUGACCAGCCACACUGGAACUGAGACACGGUCCAGACUCCUACGGGAGGCAGCAGUGGGGAAUAUUGCACAAUGGGCGCAAGCCUGAUGCAGCCAUGCCGCGUGUAUGAAGAAGGCCUUCGGGUUGUAAAGUACUUUCAGCGAGGAGGAAGGCGAUAAGGUUAAUAACCUUGUCGAUUGACGUUACUCGCAGAAGAAGCACCGGCUAACUCCGUGCCAGCAGCCGCGGUAAUACGGAGGGUGCAAGCGUUAAUCGGAAUUACUGGGCGUAAAGCGCACGCAGGCGGUCUGUCAAGUCGGAUGUGAAAUCCCCGGGCUCAACCUGGGAACUGCAUCCGAAACUGGCAGGCUAGAGUCUUGUAGAGGGGGGUAGAAUUCCAGGUGUAGCGGUGAAAUGCGUAGAGAUCUGGAGGAAUACCGGUGGCGAAGGCGGCCCCCUGGACAAA